GGGCGAUUGGCUCAGGUGGUUAGAGCGCUGCGCUCACAUCGCAGAAGUCACUGGUUCGAGUCCAGUAUCGCCCA
RNAcentral lists this transfer RNA (74 nucleotides) under Bacteroidota bacterium. RNAcentral describes it as "Bacteroidetes bacterium (marine metagenome) tRNA-Val". It matches the Rfam family "tRNA". From Rfam's summary of the family: Transfer RNA (tRNA) molecules are approximately 80 nucleotides in length. Lineage: Bacteria; Pseudomonadati; Bacteroidota. The record is from RNAcentral. RNAcentral also lists the same sequence under 1 other name.